UAAUAAUUACCUUAUUAUUAUGUCUUGUAAUAUUAUUUGGUAUUGUCUCAUGUAAAGGUCUAUAGAACCUGAGAUUUAAGCUAAUAUUAAUAUGUAAUCUAAGACAGGUUUAAGUUAGUGUUAUGAUGGAAUGAAUGAAUAUGAUAGUAUCAUGAGCACCACGCACGAGGUAAAGGUAACCCGAAUUUGAGGGCGUCAUAGGGGUGCUUUGGUGUUCUGGGUGUGUAAUUUUGAUCUUGAUAUGGGGGUUUCUUGUGGGAUUCGGUAUUGGUUAAUUUUGGAUCUUGAUCUGUUUUUGUCAAGUCUUGGGUGUGAAUUUUGGUCUCUCUUUUUUAUCUGUUUGAUUUAGUUCUAAUGGAUUUAAUUGUGUUUUUCGCUGGCUUUGUCGGAUGUUUUUCAUCGGAGUUGCUCCAUUGUUGUGGCUGAUGGGCUUCCUUUCAACUGGUUUUUGUCUGUUUUGCCCAACUAUCGUCAUUAACUUCCCUUCUCCACUCACGGUGGGUUCUUUUAUGAUUGUGGGGAGUUAUUGGUUAUUGUUGGGGAUUUCUCCGGCUAUUCCCUACUGAUCUCAUGCGUGUUUUAAUGUUUAUCUUUUCCAUAUCAGUUAUAGGUGUUUUUGUUUGAUCUUGUUCCAUUAGUUUUGAGUUGGCGACUAAUUUGGGUUGCCGAAACUCGUGGAUGGGGCCUGAUUGUUUUCUUAUUCUGAUAAUAUUUCAGAUUAUCUCUUUCAAUCUAAGCCUGCUUGUUCUUCUAAUUUUCUUGCUUGGAUUUGAUUGUGUUGGAGGUUUUGCCGGAGGCUAUCCCAUGUUGCCGGUCGGAAUUUUCUGUUGAUUGCUUUGUGGUAGCCGGUGUGUUUUGCAGUUGUUGCUGCUGAUUAUUGGCUGACAGCUAGUUGUGCGCUUUGUGGUAAAAUUUAAAGUUUAUUAGAAGAUCUUUUAAAGUCAAGUCUCAGUAAACCAUGUUUACUGUAAUAUGUUCAGGUGAGGGUAAUUUUGAAAAACUCAUUUUGUAUUAUUGUGAAAGUUACUCAAUCAUAGUUAAUGUAUGGGCCAUAUGGGCAAAAAUAACAAAAAAGGGGGGUGAAUUUAUCAGUUCUCUAUUUUAAAAGUAUUUGUAAUACAAUGAGUCAACCUUAUAAUCAUAAUCUCAUAAACUAAUGUACAUUGCAAUUAUAAAUGAUUUAAAAUGAGCACGUUUUAC
This 1200-nucleotide long non-coding RNA is filed under the name Panax ginseng (ginseng). RNAcentral describes it as "long non-coding RNA (PGIN_LNC007781)". Lineage: Eukaryota; Viridiplantae; Streptophyta; Magnoliopsida; Apiales; Araliaceae. The record is from RNAcentral.